This 511-nucleotide ribosomal RNA is filed under the name uncultured bacterium. RNAcentral's name for it is "bacterial SSU rRNA". It matches the Rfam family "Bacterial small subunit ribosomal RNA", at positions 28 to 524 of the family's 1533-position model. The record is from RNAcentral.
GACGAACGCUGGCGGCGUGCCUAACACAUGCAAGUCGAACGAGAAAGUCCCUUCGGGGGCGAGUACAGUGGCGCACGGGUGAGUAAUACGUGGAUAACCAACCCUCGGGUGGGGGAUAACAGUCCGAAAGGAUUGCUAAUCCCGCAUAAGACCACGACAGCUGCGGCUGUUGAGGCCAAAGGCGCUUUAAUGUGUCGCCUGAGGACGGGUCCGCGUCCCAUUAGCUAGUUGGCGGGGUAAUGGCCCACCAAGGCGAUGAUGGGUAGCUGGUCUGAGAGGAUGACCAGCCACACUGGGACUGGAACACGGCCCAGACUCCUACGGGAGGCAGCAGUGAGGAAUAUUGCACAAUGGGCGAAAGCCUGAUGCAGCAACGCCGCGUGAGUGAUGAAGGCCCUCGGGUUGUAAAGCUCUUUUGUCCGGAAAGAAAAGCGCCGGGUUAAUACCCUGGUGUCCUGACGGUACCGGAAGAAUAAGCACCGGCUAACUUCGUGCCAGCAGCCGCGGUAAA